This 704-nucleotide ribosomal RNA is filed under the name Leccinum sp. YM2597. RNAcentral describes it as "eukaryotic LSU rRNA". The stretch from base 99 to 253 matches the Rfam family "5.8S ribosomal RNA". The record is from RNAcentral. Lineage: Eukaryota; Fungi; Basidiomycota; Agaricomycetes; Boletales; Boletaceae.
UACUACACACACCUGUGAACCUAUUGUAGAUCGAAAGAUCUAUGUCUUUUAUCAACACAACCCUAUCGUAUGUCUAUAGAAUGUAACCAAUUUAAUACAACUUUCAGCAAUGGAUCUCUUGGCUCUCGCAUCGAUGAAGAACGCAGCGAAUUGCGAUAAGUAAUGUGAAUUGCAGAUUUUCAGUGAAUCAUCGAAUCUUUGAACGCACCUUGCGCUCCUUGGUAUUCCGAGGAGCAUGCCUGUUUGAGUGUCAUUUAAUUAUCAACCAUCAAGUCUUUGAUUAGGCUUUUUGGCUUGGACUUGGGAAUUGCUGGCUUUGAGUAGUCGGCUGUCCUUAAAUGCAUUAGUGAGUACGUGCACGGCCUCUUUGACGUGAUAAUGAUCGUUGGUGGGGCUGGAAGCGUAAUUGCUUAUAACCAUUACGAACUUGGGAAAGUGCUAUGUGCAUACGGCCUAAUACGCUGGAAGCAUAGUGUGGAACUAAGGUAGUAGUAAUACAGAAGUGGAAGUGCUAUGUGCAUAUGGCCUGAUCGCUGGAAGCAUAGUGUGGAAGCUAGUAGGAAUAUGAAAGGUGGAAGUGCUAUGUGCAUACGGCCUGAUCGCUGGAAGCAUAGUAUGGAAAUUUAUUAGUAAUCCAAUGCUAGUGGAAGCGCUACGUGUAUACGGCCUUUGAUGACUGGAAGCAUAGUAUUGAAACCCGAGUA